RNAcentral lists this ribosomal RNA (381 nucleotides) under Triticum aestivum (bread wheat). RNAcentral's name for it is "partial small subunit ribosomal RNA". Lineage: Eukaryota; Viridiplantae; Streptophyta; Magnoliopsida; Poales; Poaceae. The record is from RNAcentral.
UUGGGGGAUUUUAAUGAAAUUUUAUACCCAUCGGAAAAAGAGGGUGGUAUGGCUAGACCACUUGGUAUGAUGAGAGAAUUCCGUGAAUGUCUAAUGGAUUGUGGGCUAGAGGACCUAGGCUAUAAGGGCGACCUGUUCACUUGGAAGAGAGGCGAAAUACGUGAACGUCUUGAUCGAGCGGUCUGUAAUAUAGCGUGGGCAAAAAAAUUCCCACGAGCGGCAGUGAUCAAUGAAGAACAAAAAUUCCCACGAGCGGCAGUGAUCAAUGAAGAACAUGUUCAUUCUGAUCAUCGCCCAAUUGUACUGGAUACAGAUUACUUAGAUGAAAAAUCUUUAAACAACCAGAGGGGCGUGUUAAACAAUUUGAGGCGAGGUGGUUGA